GGGCCUGGUAAUUUAGCGGGAUAGAGCGAAUGACUACGAAUCAUUCGGUCGGAGGUUCGACUCCUUCCGCCAUCCA
RNAcentral lists this transfer RNA (76 nucleotides) under Terriglobus albidus. RNAcentral describes it as "tRNA-Arg". It matches the Rfam family "tRNA". From Rfam's summary of the family: Transfer RNA (tRNA) molecules are approximately 80 nucleotides in length. The record is from RNAcentral. Lineage: Bacteria; Pseudomonadati; Acidobacteriota; Terriglobia; Terriglobales; Acidobacteriaceae.